UCCUCGUUAGCUCAGUUGGUAGAGCGUUCGGCUUUUAACCGAAACGUCAAGGGUUCAAGCCCCUUACGAGGAG
Molecule: transfer RNA, 73 nt
Filed under: Maudiozyma saulgeensis
Lineage: Eukaryota; Fungi; Ascomycota; Saccharomycetes; Saccharomycetales; Saccharomycetaceae
Description: Kazachstania saulgeensis transfer RNA-Lys-(TTT)
Rfam family: tRNA
About the family: Transfer RNA (tRNA) molecules are approximately 80 nucleotides in length. Their secondary structure includes four short double-helical elements and three loops (D, anti-codon, and T loops).
Source: RNAcentral